CAAGGAACUUCAACUAAAGAGUGCCUCCGGUCGCCUCGGAAACGGCGUGCGUGCCGGGGGCGAAUCUUGUGCAAAACCAUAACGACUCUCGGCAACGGAUAUCUCGGCUCUCGCAUCGAUGAAGAACGUAGCGAAAUGCGAUACUUGGUGUGAAUUGCAGAAUCCCGCGAAUCAUCGAGUCUUUGAACGCAAGUUGCGCCCGAAGCCAUCUGGUCGAGGGCACGUCUGCCUGGGUGUCACGCAUCGUUGCCCCCAACCCCAUCGCCUCUCCAAGAGACGAGGGCGGUCUGCGGGGCGGACAUUGGCCUCCCGUGAGCUUUCGCUCGCGGCUGGCCUAAAAGCGAGUCCUCGGCGACGAGCGCCACGACAAUCGGUGGUUGACAAACCCUCGUGUCCCGUCGUGCGCGGCUCGUCGCUCGUCUUGUGCUCUGUGACCCUGUAGCGUCGCGCUCGCGACUCUUCCAACGCGACCCCAGGUCAGGCGGGACUACCCGCUGAA
Molecule: ribosomal RNA, 499 nt
Filed under: embryophyte environmental sample
Lineage: Eukaryota; Viridiplantae; Streptophyta
Description: eukaryotic LSU rRNA
Rfam family: 5.8S ribosomal RNA (bases 84-239)
Source: RNAcentral